Molecule: long non-coding RNA, 209 nt
Filed under: Elaeis guineensis (African oil palm)
Lineage: Eukaryota; Viridiplantae; Streptophyta; Magnoliopsida; Arecales; Arecaceae
Description: long non-coding RNA (EGUI_LNC027278)
Source: RNAcentral
AGCUGGUUCAAUCUGCAUUUUGGUUGGAUGAGAAGUCCUCCCAUCAGACCGGCAUAAGGCAUUUAAUCCUGCUUUCUGAGAUUUCAUGGUUGCCGACUCCUCUUCCUUUCCAAAUGAGUUUGCAAGCCCUUACUUUAGCAUCAAUUUAUUGCUAUUGGUGGCCAACCUAAUACCGAAGCAGGCGAAUCUGUAAAGGUUGGUGUUUAACA